UAGGAUUAACAGAGGUCCCGCUCCUGUCCUCCCCAGGAGGCAGCCCUUGCCUCUACCCUUCUGAGGCAGGAGAGGGCACCUCUGCAGGUCUGAAAAAGAAGGGGAGGUAAGCACGAUAUCGUCACACUGGGAGGACCAGUACGGGCAUACCUGUAGCUCCUGGGGUCCCACUGGGUCUGAGGGCGACUUUUCACCUUUUUGGAGGAAAAGAUGUGUUGGAAGACGUUGCUGCUUCUGCUGUUGUAUUAUGACGCUCAGGCCACUCUGUCGCACAGGUGGAGCAGGGCCGUGCUCUUCCCUGGCGCCCACCGGCCAAAGAGAUCCUCGUCGGUGCCCUUGAACCCCGUUCUGCAGAGCUCCCUGGAGGAAGUAGAGCUGCUCUAUGAGUUCCUUCUGGCUGAACUUGAGAUCAGCCCUGACCUGAAGAUCUCCAUCAAGGACGAGGAGCUCUCCUCCCUGCGGAAGGCCUCGGACUUCCGCGCCAUCUGCAAUGAUGUGAUCCCCAAGAGCAUCCCAGACAUCCGGCGGCUGAGCGCCAGCCUCUCCAACCACCCAGGCACCCUCAAGAAAGAGGACUUCGAAAGGACAGCGCUGACCCUGGCCUACACAGCCUACCGCACAGCCUCGUCCCAAGGGCAUCAGAAGGAUAUCUGGGCCCAGUCCCUCCUUAGCCUUUUCCAUGCCUUGAGGCAUGACUUAAUGCGGUCCUCAUGUCCCAGAGCAUCUCCCUGAGAGACUGGCUGGCACCAGGACCAGGGAGCAGGGACCAGCACACAGUAAUCCAGAAAUUCUUCAUUCUCUACUCCAUUUACAGAGACCAGCCACAAAACACAUACCACCAACUCAGAGCAGCAAAGAUAAAACAAGAAACACCGAUGCUCUUUGCCCCUUGUAACUUCUUGACAAGCAUAAGAUUGUGAUUCCUAUCAUAACGUGACCUGGGCUGGAAAAAAGGGCUGGAAUGGUAAUUCAAGAUGCCUCCAGAGGCUGAAUGUUUUGCCUGGUGAAUUGCAGGAGUCUAAGAUAUGCUUUAACAUUGAGUGACUGUAACACAAACACCCAAGAGUGAGGACAGAGCCAGGAGAGACAUAACAGAAGUCUGGGCAUGGCGGGAAAGUGGGGGACAGAUUUCUUUGGUCCUAAGAGAUCAGGGUGCUGGAUUGAAUGAACACCUUUCCAAAGUUCUGUAGUAAGAUAUAAAGAAACUAGAGCUAUAGCCAAAUAAAUACAUUGUUAACCAAGGAUAUACUUCUCAACUUUUCCAAAAGUCCCCAAAAAGAAUCAGUCAGAAAAUCAGUUAUGACCUAUAUAUCUAGACUCUUCUUUCCUGAAGCCUGGUCUAAUGUAGAGGAGAAACAUGAAGGGGGCCAACAGAAAUGCUACUGUCAUGCCUUGACUUUUGAACAGAGAAACCAAGCUAAUGCAGAGAGGGUCAUCCUAACGAAAGAGGUGGCACCAGUGCCACGGCCUGCCCAUCCUAAUGCUAAAAUUAUUGAGCAUUAUCAGAGAAUUAAGUGCUCCAAACAAAAAUGAUUUUCAGAUGACAGAAUUUUACCCUUUCAAACGCCAAAACUUUCAUUUUAGCAAUAUUGACUGGAUAUAUAUGAAAGCCAGUAAGGUUGAAUUUAGUAUAUUGGAAACAUUCUAAUGAAGGAGUUAGAUGAGAUCAUCUCUAAGAUUCCUCUACUUCUGAAAUGUUCACAAGCAUUCAACUAACUGUGAGAUAUUACAGGGAGGACACCUGGACCUGAGAUGUCUCUGCUGGACUGUUUGUAUCAACCCUGAAAGGUCCCAGGCUUUCUUUUUUUUUUUUUUUUUUUUGCGGUACGCAGGCCUCUCACCGCUGUGGCCUCUCCCGCUGCGGAGCACAGGCUCCAGAUGCGCAGGCUCAGUGGCCAUGGCUCACGGGCCCAGCCGCCCCGCGGCACGUGGGAUCCUCCUGGACUGGGGCACGAACCCGUGUCCACUGCAUUGGCAGGCAGACUCUCAACCACUGCGCCACCAGGGAAGCCCAGUCCCAGGCUUUCUUAACUCUGAAUCUGGUGUGAGUUUUUCUGUUGCCUUCCUCACUGUCAGGCGAUAAAAGUAGCAUUUUCUUUGCUACCAACAUAACUCGCCCUUUGCAAUUUGUUCUUUCUUACUGGGCAUCGCCUGAAAAAUAAGAUAGCAAGUCUUGUUAUAAUUCCACAUUAAAUAAGAGUUAAUAGAUGAAGGUCCCUGCUAGGAGUAAAGCACCUGGGUCCUAAUAAAGAUUCCUCACCAGCUCAGAGAUCUUUCCAGCUUCUCGGAGGUUUACAGCUGGGUUCUGGAGGCUAAAGCUGCAGGAAGUCUGAUCUUUGAAUAAACAAGGAUUCACUGGGCUAAAUUUUUUAUUCUGAAAUGGGUAUUUGACAAUUGUCACUGAAUGAAGAUGAAAGCUGGUCUGAACUUCUUUAGAAUCUUUGAAUAAGUGAGCCUCGCCUAGCAGUGCAAGCUGCAUGAUCUUUUGAAGUAAUACCAGGAUGCAGGAACAAGGUGUUUAUCGUCAGAGAAAAAUCCCACUUUGCAUCCCGAUGUCCUCAGGCUCAGAAGACUAAUCAGCCCCUCUGGUUCUCACUCCCUGUGGCUAUAUUGAUCUUUUACCUCCCUCAAAUGCAGACUCUGAUAUAUGCUUUUGUGUUCAAUUUUUCUCUUUCUAAGAUUGCAUGUUCUCUUUCAUGCAGUCACUCCACUUGCCUCUUUCUUUUCAUUGCAGUUGGUGUCUCUGCUGUUCUGUCUUUGGGUCCGGUUCUGAUUAUCUUCAUAUCCAUUCCUCGAGGCAUCUCCCAGUUUCUCCUGCUUGACCCCUCGCUGCCUCUACUUGCCCGUACUCUGUUGCUCACUGUCUCCUUUGGGGAUCACUGUCUGAUUAAAACAAAGUCAAGACAGAGAGCACAGGCUCCGGACGCGCAGGCUCAGAGGCCAUGGAUCACGGGCCCAGCCGCUCCGCGGCAUGCGGGAUCCUCCCGGACCGGGGCACAAACCCGUGUGCCCUGCAUCGGCAGGCGGACUCUCAACCACUGCGCCACCAGGGAAGCCCGGGCACAACCUUUUUAAAGACAAAUGAAAAUUUCGUUUUUAGUAACUAGAUACUUCAACACUAUUUUAGGCUGAAUACAAAUGAAUUGUUUACCCACAAAAAGUUUUAUAGCACUGACUUCAUUUACAAGCAAAAUCAAACAUUCUCCUCACCACCACCACCCCAAAACCCGACUCUUUGCCCAGUGAGCAGUGAGGGAGUAGCCUGGACAGCAACGGACUCUCCCAUUUUGCCUCAUUAAUGCCGCACCGUACACACCACCAUCACAACCCAGUCACAUUUUGUCAUAUUUACUCAAAAAAUAAUUCAGAGUGUGACAUAGUAGUGGAAGCUUGCCUGUGACUCAGUGGAACCCUUCUACCAUUUCUAGACUGCCGGGAAAUUUUAGGAUCUAAAAAUUCUGGAAGUUUCCUCUAUAGUCGGCAUUCUCAUGGCUACCUCUGGUGUCACUCAAGAGACACUGAAAAACAUCUAUAUGCUGAAACCUUCAUAAAGGAGAAUCACGUAAGUGGUAAAUCACAUAAGUGGUAAAGGCCAGAGCACUGGCCUAAAAUUAAAUGCUUGUUAAAUGACUUUACAUGGUGCCCCUGACUUUCCUAACCCAUUUUAAUAUCUUUCAUUUUUUUAUUGUGGUUAAAAAACACAUCAUAUGAAAGUUACCAUCCGAACCAUUUCUAAGCGUACGGUACAGUAAUGUUAAUUACAUGUACACUGUUGUGUGACAGAGCUCCAGAACUUUUUCAUCUUGCAAAAACGAUACCUAUGAAACCACAACUCCGCUUUUCCCUCUCCCCCCAGCCCCUGGCAACUACCAUUCGACUUUCUGUUUCUAAGUGUUUGACUACUUUUGAUACCUCAUAUAGGUGGAAUCUGUCUUACAUUUCUUAAGCAAUGUAUAAAAUUUCCUUAGGAAAAUGUUUUCUUUAUCUAAAAAGUGGAUAGAGUCCUGAAGGAGAACUACUGGUCUUACUAUGUCACUCACAUAAUUUUAUUUAACAAAUAUUCACUUAUGGUGUAAUAAAAAUGUCAUGAUCGAGUUUCCAGGCUUAAUGGAAUCUUUAUUAUCUCAUACUAUCUCACCAAGGAAUUUGAAGUGGCUCAUGGGUUUAACAGAGAAUGUUGACUUCCACAGCUGUUUACUUGUACCCUGAC
Globicephala melas (long-finned pilot whale) is the source of this 4210-nucleotide RNA transcript. It is a transcript of the gene named family with sequence similarity 180 member A, with no coding region annotated. Lineage: Eukaryota; Metazoa; Chordata; Mammalia; Artiodactyla; Delphinidae. The record is from RefSeq and is a predicted model, not a curated record.